RNAcentral lists this ribosomal RNA (429 nucleotides) under Chloroflexota bacterium. Its description in RNAcentral is "Chloroflexi bacterium partial 16S ribosomal RNA". It matches the Rfam family "Bacterial small subunit ribosomal RNA", at positions 355 to 776 of the family's 1533-position model. The record is from RNAcentral. Lineage: Bacteria; Bacillati; Chloroflexota.
UGGGGAAUAUUGCACAAUGGGCGCAAGCCUGAUGCAGCCAUGCCGCGUGUAUGAAGAAGGCCUUCGGGUUGUAAAGUACUUUCAGUCGGGAGGAAGGUGGUAAGGUUAAUAACCUUGGCAAUUGACGUUACCGACAGAAGAAGCACCGGCUAACUCCGUGCCAGCAGCCGCGGUAAUACGGAGGGUGCAAGCGUUAAUCGGAAUUACUGGGCGUAAAGCGCACGCAGGCGGUUGAUUGAGUCAGAUGUGAAAUCCCCGGGCUUAACCCGGGAAUUGCAUCUGAUACUGGUCAGCUAGAGUCUUGUAGGGGGGGGUAGAAUUCCAUGUGUAGCGGUGAAAUGCGUAGAGAUGUGGAGGAAUACCGGUGGCGAAGGCGGCCCCCUGGACAAAGACUGACGCUCAGGUGCGAAAGCGUGGGGAGCAAACGGG